Molecule: ribosomal RNA, 103 nt
Filed under: uncultured eukaryote
Lineage: Eukaryota
Description: partial small subunit ribosomal RNA
Rfam family: Eukaryotic small subunit ribosomal RNA
Source: RNAcentral
GCUCCUACCGAUACCGGGUGGUUCGGUGAACCUUUUGGACCUCGUAAGAGGAAAGAUAAGUAAAUCAUAUCACCUAGAGGAAGGAGAAGUCGUAACAAGGUUU